CCUAACACAUGCAAGUCGAGCGGCAGCGGGAAGUAGCUUGCUACUUUGCCGGCGAGCGGCGGACGGGUGAGUAAUGUCUGGGAAACUGCCUGAUGGAGGGGGAUAACUACUGGAAACGGUAGCUAAUACCGCAUGACCUCGCAAGAGCAAAGUGGGGGACCUUCGGGCCUCACGCCAUCGGAUGUGCCCAGAUGGGAUUAGCUAGUAGGUGAGGUAAUGGCUCACCUAGGCGACGAUCCCUAGCUGGUCUGAGAGGAUGACCAGCCACACUGGAACUGAGACACGGUCCAGACUCCUACGGGAGGCAGCAGUGGGGAAUAUUGCACAAUGGGCGCAAGCCUGAUGCAGCCAUGCCGCGUGUGUGAAGAAGGCCUUAGGGUUGUAAAGCACUUUCAGCGAGGAGGAAGGGUUCAGUGUUAAUAGCACUGUGCAUUGACGUUACUCGCAGAAGAAGCACCGGCUAAC
RNAcentral lists this ribosomal RNA (465 nucleotides) under mastodon intestinal bacterium 102.5.25. RNAcentral describes it as "bacterial SSU rRNA". It matches the Rfam family "Bacterial small subunit ribosomal RNA", at positions 47 to 501 of the family's 1533-position model. The record is from RNAcentral. Lineage: Bacteria; Pseudomonadati; Pseudomonadota; Gammaproteobacteria; Enterobacterales; Enterobacteriaceae.